UCCUCCCAGUACCGUAAAUUCAAAAACUUUAUUCCUUUACCUCACUGUAUAUUACUGCCAUCUCACAAUCUCCUAGACGGUCUGUGGCUGUGAGUUUUUGGUUUCCUUUUCUUUCUUGCUGUUUUAAAUUGUUAUUUUUUAGCGAACUUUUAAAACAGUAUCAGGAACUCUGACUGUCUCGAGCUCGAGGCGGUGCGUCCUCACAGAAAGAGUUGUGCUCGCGCGAGGAAACUUUUUAACAGGACAUAUGAGGCUUCACCGCUCAGCUGAACUCAAACCGGCAUCAUGACACGGCAUUCGUUAAGAAUACUCCUCUCUGUGACUCUCAUGAGACUGUGUCUUCUUAAUCAUAGCAUACUUCCAGCACAAGGGGAAAGUAUAGGUGCUGUUGCCAGCCUCACUGUCUCUAACAAAACUACAUCAUCUCUGUCUCUAACCUGGAAUGAGCCAGCUGGGAACAGGUCGUACUUUACAGUAAAUUGGACUGGUGGCAGUGUGAAUAACAGCAGUAACACUUCAAGCACGUCUUACACUGUCACUG
Molecule: long non-coding RNA, 541 nt
Organism: Ictalurus furcatus (blue catfish)
Lineage: Eukaryota; Metazoa; Chordata; Actinopteri; Siluriformes; Ictaluridae
Exons: 3
Source: RefSeq, a predicted model, not a curated record